RNAcentral lists this unclassified non-coding RNA (253 nucleotides) under uncultured Halomonadaceae bacterium. RNAcentral's name for it is "contains 16S-23S intergenic spacer region". It matches the Rfam family "Bacterial small subunit ribosomal RNA", at positions 524 to 776 of the family's 1533-position model. The record is from RNAcentral. Lineage: Bacteria; Pseudomonadati; Pseudomonadota; Gammaproteobacteria; Oceanospirillales; Halomonadaceae.
UACGGAUGGUGCGAGCGUUAAUCGGAAUUACUUGGCGUAAAGCGCGCGUAGGCGGCCAAGCAAGCAGGUUGUGAAAGCCCCUGGCUCAACCUGGGAAUGGCUUCCGGAACUGGUUGGCUAGAGUGCAGAAGAGGAAGGUAGAAUUCCCGGUGUAGCGGUGGAAUGCGUAGAGAUCGGGAGGAAUACCAGUGGCGAAGGCGGCCUUCUGGUCUGACACUGACGCUGAGGUGCGAAAGCGUGGGUAGCAAACAGG